GCGAGAAGUCCAUUGAACCUUAUCAUUUAGAGGAAGGAGAAGUCGUAACAAGGUUUCCGUAGGUGAACCUGCGGAAGGAUCAUUGUCGAGACCCAAAUAUAUCGAGCGAUUCGGAGAACCCGUGAAUGAGCGGCGGCAGCUGCCGUCGCGAAAUUGCCGUCCCAGCCGUGGCCUCAUCUCCGUGGUGGGGGGGGGGGCCACGAGGAAGGACGGAUGAAACUCAAACCGGCGCAGCUACGCGCCAAGGGAAUAUCGAAAAACACGAGCCCCGUAUCGGGUUUAGUGGCGUGGAGUGCGUCGCACACCACACGGAUCGACACGACUCUCGGCAAUGGAUAUCUCGGCUCUCGCAUCGAUGAAGAGCGCAGCGAAAUGCGAUACGUGGUGCGAAUUGCAGAAUCCCGCGAACCAUCGAGAAUUUGAACGCAAGUUGCGCCCGAGGCCAGCCGGCCAAGGGCACGUCCGCCUGGGCGUCAAGCGUUGCGUCGCUCCGUGCCAGCUCCACAUCCCAUCCGAUGGGUGUGUCGGCCGAGGCUCGGACGUGCAGAGUGGCUCGUCGUGCCCGUCGGUGCGGCGGGCUGAAGAGGGGGUCGUCGUCUCAUCGGCCACGAACAACAAGGGGUGGAUGGGAGCUACGAGCAAGGCCUACGUUGUCUCGUGCCGGCCUGAGAAAAGAUUAUACUCCCGUUUGAUCCCAACCCAUGCGCCGGUCCACGGACGGCGGCUUGGAAUGCGACCCCAGGAUGGGCGAGGCCACCCGCCGAGUUUAAGCAUAUCAAUAAGC
This 784-nucleotide ribosomal RNA is filed under the name Chysis bractescens. RNAcentral's name for it is "eukaryotic LSU rRNA". The stretch from base 321 to 476 matches the Rfam family "5.8S ribosomal RNA". The record is from RNAcentral. Lineage: Eukaryota; Viridiplantae; Streptophyta; Magnoliopsida; Asparagales; Orchidaceae.